UAACGCGUGGGUAACCUGCCUCAUACAGGGGGAUAACAGUUAGAAAUGACUGCUAAUACCGCAUAAGCGCACAGUCUCGCAUGGGACAGUGUGAAAAACUCUGGUGGUAUGAGAUGGACCCGCGUCUGAUUAGCUAGUUGGUGAGGUAACGGCUCACCAAGGCGACGAUCAGUAGCCGGCCUGAGAGGGUGAACGGCCACAUUGGGACUGAGACACGGCCCAAACUCCUACGGGAGGCAGCAG
This 243-nucleotide ribosomal RNA is filed under the name uncultured bacterium. RNAcentral's name for it is "partial 16S ribosomal RNA". It matches the Rfam family "Bacterial small subunit ribosomal RNA", at positions 111 to 354 of the family's 1533-position model. The record is from RNAcentral.